GGCCUUGCGCCGGGCGAUGGUUCAUUCAAAUUUUCUGCCCUAUCAACUUUCGAGGGUAGGAUAGUGGCCUACCCAUGGUAUCAACGGGUAACGGGGGAAUUUAGGGGUUCGACUCCGGAGGAGGGAGCCUGAGAAACGGCUACCACAUCCAAGGAAGGGCAGCAGGCGCGCAAAUUACCCAAUCCCGACACGGGGAGGUAGUGACAAUAAAUACUGAUACAGGGCUCUUUUGGGUCUUGUAAUUGGAAUGAGUACAAUUUAAAUCCCUUAACGAGGAACAAUUGGAGGGCAAGUCUGGUGCCAGCAGCCGCGGUAAUUCCAGCUCCAAUAGCGUAUAUUAAAGUUGUUGCAGUUAAAAAGCUCGUAGUUGAACCUUGGGCCUGGCUGGCCGGUCCGCCUCACCGCGUGUACUGGUCCGGCCGGGCCUUUCCUUCUGGGGAACCUCAUGCCCUUCACUGGGCGUGUUGGGGAACCAGGACUUUUACUUUGAAAAAAUUAGAGUGUUCAAAGCAGGCCUUUGCUCGAAUACAUUAGCAUGGAAUAAUAGAAUAGGACGUGUGGUUCUAUUUUGUUGGUUUCUAGGACCGCCGUAAUGAUUAAUAGGGAUAGUCGGGGGCAUCAGUAUUCAAUCGUCAGAGGUGAAAUUCUUGGAUUGAUUGAAGACUAACUACUGCGAAAGCAUUUGCCAAGGAUGUUUUCAUUAAUCAGUGAACGAAAGUUAGGGGAUCGAAGACGAUCAGAUACCGUCGUAGUCUUAACCAUAAACUAUGCCGACUAGGGAUCGGACGGUGUUAGUAUUUUGACCCGUUCGGCACCUUACGAGAAAUCAAAGUUU
This 835-nucleotide ribosomal RNA is filed under the name Cladosporium cladosporioides. Its description in RNAcentral is "SSU rRNA". It matches the Rfam family "Eukaryotic small subunit ribosomal RNA", at positions 275 to 1106 of the family's 1831-position model. The record is from RNAcentral. Lineage: Eukaryota; Fungi; Ascomycota; Dothideomycetes; Cladosporiales; Cladosporiaceae.